AGCAGAUUCGUGAUGUUACAUUAUAAAAAAAAGAAUUGAGAAUGUUUUUUUUUCUUUUUCUCACCAAAUAAAUUUGUUUAUGCUUCGACAACACAAUUAUAACAAAAUAAAUACAUUAAAUAAGAACCUGAAAAAAUCAAAUGUAGAAGUAAAGACGAUUUCACCGGAAUCUCGAACGAAAUCCUUAACUCGUUUUUUUUUUGGUUGUUUUUCCUUUCCGUCUCCCUUCUUCUGUUUCGUUUCUUUUUUUUUCUUUUUGUUUCUUUUUUGUUUUUUCCUUCCUACUUCUUUGUUGUUUUCUUUUCUGUUUCUUGGUUGUUGUUUUUUUUCUGUCUCUUUUGUUGUUUUUCUUUUUUC
RNAcentral lists this long non-coding RNA (357 nucleotides) under Capsicum annuum. RNAcentral describes it as "long non-coding RNA (CANN_LNC009913)". The record is from RNAcentral. Lineage: Eukaryota; Viridiplantae; Streptophyta; Magnoliopsida; Solanales; Solanaceae.